GCCCUCGAUGGCUCAGAUGGAUAGAGUGUCUGCCAUGAAAGCAGGAGAUCCCGGAUUCGAGUCCCGGUCGGGGCA
This 75-nucleotide transfer RNA is filed under the name Schistocerca americana (American grasshopper). Its description in RNAcentral is "tRNA-Ser". Lineage: Eukaryota; Metazoa; Arthropoda; Insecta; Orthoptera; Acrididae. The record is from RNAcentral.